GUACAUCACGUUUCAUGCAAAAUUGUCAAAAUACUGUCAAAUGUAGUCUUAAAUUUACAUGAAAGUAAUUUUAAUAAUGAUAUUGGUUUAAAGGAUAAAAUAUGGAACCACUAUCAAUUUUAUUACUUGGUACUUGUAUUAUUGCGUGUUGGCCAUGUUUGUUACCGUGUUGCUUAGCUCUCCCAAUUAUACCAUAUCCACUACUAAUUAUAGACUCCACGAAAAAUAUCGAUAAGUCCAAAAGAGAGAUGGACAGUCGUUUCUACUACAUAUGUGUUACGAAAAAUGGUAUAUUCUUAAAGAAAAAUCGAGGUUAUGAGAAGUUGACUACUUUUUGAUAUAACUUUGUUAUUUUUAUAAAAUUAAAAUGUUUUGUGCAUUUACAUAAACAGUUUUCUUAACCUAAUGUGAACCAAAAUUUAGCAGGCAGAAACAAAUACGCAACUUAAAAACUUUCUACAAAAUAUACGUAACAGAGCAUCUACACAAAAAUUUGCU
Pieris rapae (cabbage white) is the source of this 498-nucleotide long non-coding RNA. RefSeq lists it as uncharacterized. Lineage: Eukaryota; Metazoa; Arthropoda; Insecta; Lepidoptera; Pieridae. The record is from RefSeq and is a predicted model, not a curated record. The transcript is spliced from 3 exons.